This 2705-nucleotide long non-coding RNA is filed under the name Homo sapiens (human). RNAcentral describes it as "HSALNT0172793". The record is from RNAcentral. Lineage: Eukaryota; Metazoa; Chordata; Mammalia; Primates; Hominidae.
GGCUAUCUCACCCCUGCCCAGCCCCAGGCCGGCUCACCUGCCCUCGGACUCCAGCCGGACCUCUCCCCCUUGCACCCCUGGCAUGCAUGAUUGUGCUGCCCACCGUCUGCCCCGUGCCUCGCAGAAACUGGCGCGAGGAGGGAGAAGCUUGGCUACUGGUGCCUAAGCUCCGUGGGCUCUGGGCCUUGGCCCAGCGGUGAGAACUCAGGUGUAGGAGGAAGAGGAGGAAGGCGGAAAACCCUCCAACCCUGUCCUCGCCGUCUUUCCUCAGGGUCUCCCACCCACUCCUCCCUUUCUCUUCCCUGUUGUCUUUCCCUCUUUUUCCGGUCUCCGAGCCUCAGGCAGCUUUAGCCUGGUUCCCUGUAGAGCCCUAGCAGGGUCGGGGAGACACUUCGAUCCUUCGUCCUCACUUUGCAGAACGGGACACCGAGGCCCGGGGCGGCGGCGCUGCCUCGGCUGCACCUGGAUCAUUUGCGCCCGCGUUGGCUCCCUUUGCUCUCCUCUGCCUUAGACUUUUCUGCGGACUGGUGCUGAGUGUUGCCCAACCGCGCCGAGAUCUGGGCGCCGGUCUCUCGAUCUGGACUCGGUUUGGCUCGUCCUCCUCUGUAAUCGCGUGUCUUUAGGCUCCAGCAGGGCCCGGGGCCACACUUCCCCACUCCCACCGCUAACUUGGGGAUCAGUGACUCUCCCAUUGCUGACUAGCAGGGCGAGGCAUUUUUAUUUUCUGCGAAACGCGAUGAGGGCGGGGAUGCUAUGAUAUUGAGGCUGGGGUCGCAGCGCAGCAGCUGCCGGCCAUAGGGCCAGGGGUCUCCGUGGCGAGCGAAGGCUCAUCUCCCCGCGGAACGCGACCGCAGGCUUGCGGUGUGGCCGCCCUGGAAUGUUGGCGCCGUCGUGUCCCUGUCCCCCUUUCGUCGCCAGCUGAGGUGCAGGUCUUGCUCAAGAAGGCGCUUCGACCUGAAAGCAGGCCUUUCAGGAGAAAUGGCUUGAGAAAGACAUGUUGAAGAGGAAAAAUACGUUAAGGAUUUUCCCCAUGUGCAGGUGCUUCAUCAUCACAUGAUCUCAUUUAAUCUUCACAACAUCCCUGAGGUAUGUUGUCUUCAAUCCCCCUUUGGCAAAAGAGGAAAUGGAAGCUCUGGUUAAAACUUGGUGAAGAUAACACAGCUUAGCAGGAAACCCUGAGCUGUCUGACUCUCAAGCCUGUGUUGGGAAAUCCUGCCCUGUGCUGCCUCUUGUUGCAGAGAUCCUAUCUGGAUAAAGUGCUGGGUAACCAGGAAUCAGAACCUCUGGAGGACGAGUAUGACUUCUUUUCUGUCCCUGCUGCUCGAGUUCAAACCCUCACCAUCCUCUCCUCCUCUUCCCUGUUCUUGCUCUGUACCUCCACUCCGUCACUGAGUCUUGACACUUUGGCCCAGUGUCCCCCCUUGCACCCCUGCCUUUUCAUUCUUACCCUUGUUGCCACACACCUGGGGCACUGCCGUAGCUGGCAGCUCCCUUUCUCACCAGUCUUUCCCUUUUCCAUCUUUUCCACUAACCCUGCCAGACUCAUCUUCCUUUAACACUGCUUUGUCCUAUUUCAUUAAAAAUAUCCCAGGGACUCAUGAGAUAAAGUCAAGACUCAGUGCUUGACCUGACACAGCCCCCAGUCCCCCCAGGUAGACCUCAAAGCUUCUACAUUCGUUCUUUUUCACGCUGCUGAUAAAGACAGACUUGAGACUGGGCAAUUUACGAAAGAAAGAGGUUUGUUGGACUUAUGGUUCCAUAUGGCUGGGGAGACCUCACAAUCACAGUGGAAGGCAAGGAGGAGCAAGUCAUGUCUUACAUGGAUGGCAGCAGGCAAAACAGUUUGUGCAGAGAAACUCCCAUUUUUAAAACCAUCAGAUCUUGUGAGACCCAUUCACUAUCAUGAGAACAGCAUGGGAAAGACCCAUCCCCAUGAUUCAAUCACCUCCCACCAGUUCCUCCCAUGACAUAUGGGAAUUAUAGGAAUUGUGGGAGUUACAAUUCAAGAUGAGAUUUGGGUGGGGACACAGUCAAAACAUAUCAACUCCUUUCCAGCCUUGCCCAUCACUUCCUGCAAUAACUUGAUGUUGCCUGGGAUUUUCUGACUUCAGCAUCUUUGCUCAUGAGGUAUCUUCUACCUAGAAUGUGACCUUCCCACCCAACCUCCCCUCUGCUAAAAAUCUCAUCAUGGUCUGCCUGAAGUGGCCUGUCUUUAAUGAAGCUUUCUCCAGUCACCUUGCAGGAAUGAUCCCCCCACCUUGAACACUUUGAAACACUUAAACAGUACUUCUCAUAUGUUGCUUCACUGUAAUUAUUUGAGUGCCAACAUUUCCUCCCUAUAUACCAAUGUGAUGAUGGAACCCAUGUGUGUGUAUCCCCCACUGUGGUCAUUAGCAUAGUGCCUUAUAUGUAGUGGUCCCUUUGUUGCAUGUAAACUAAUGAACAGUGAAAAGCAAAUAAUAAGAAAUAAAUCAUUUAUUGUUUCCCAUGUGUCAGACAGUAUUCUUAGUGCUAUUCAAAGUAAUAAUUUAAUUCUCGCAAUAACCCUAAGAGGUAGAUGAUAUUGUGUCUCCAUUAUAGAGAUGAAGAAGCGAAGGCAUGGUGAGCUGAGCUGGUCAAAGAAUUAGUGAUUGACCCAGGAUUCAAAUCUGAGCAAUCUGCCUCCAGGACCUAGACUCCCGCUGUAGGUAGCUUUCCAGCACUCU